Molecule: ribosomal RNA, 454 nt
Filed under: uncultured Paludibacter sp.
Lineage: Bacteria; Pseudomonadati; Bacteroidota; Bacteroidia; Bacteroidales; Paludibacteraceae
Description: partial 16S ribosomal RNA
Rfam family: Bacterial small subunit ribosomal RNA
Source: RNAcentral
ACGGAAGGCAGCAGUGAGGAAUAUUGGUCAAUGGGCGGAAGCCUGAACCAGCCAAGUCGCGUGAAGGAUGAAGGUAUUAUGUAUUGUAAACUUCUUUAGACGUAGAGAAAUAAGGUGCUCGUGAGCACUGAUGCUAGUAUACGUAGAAUAAGCAUCGGCUAACUCCGUGCCAGCAGCCGCGGUAAUACGGAGGAUGCGAGCGUUAUCCGGAUUUAUUGGGUUUAAAGGGUGCGUAGGCGGACUGUUAAGUCAGUGGUGAAAGGUCCCGGCUCAACAGGGGAGCUGCCAUUGAUACUGGCUGUCUGGAAUGCGGAUGCCGUGGGAGGAAUGUGUAGUGUAGCGGUGAAAUGCAUAGAUAUUACACAGAACACCGAUUGCGAAGGCAUCUCACGAAUCCGUUAUUGACGCUGAGGCACGAAAGCGUGGGGAUCAAACAGGAUUAGAUACCCUGGUA